GCCGUCUUAGCUCAUCUGGGAGAGCGUAAGACUGAAGAAGCCAGCUGCUGUUCUGUGCGGCGGCCGCCCUGCUAUCUUAAGGCACCUGGUUCAAUCCCGGGAGACGGCA
Zopfochytrium polystomum is the source of this 109-nucleotide non-coding RNA. Lineage: Eukaryota; Fungi; Chytridiomycota; Chytridiomycetes; Chytridiales; Chytridiaceae. The record is from the annotation of a GenBank genome assembly.